UACAGAGGUCUCAAGCGUUGUUCGGAUUCAUUGGGCGUAAAGGGUGCGUAGGUGGCGGGGUAAGUCAGGUGUGAAAUCUCGGGGCUCAACCCCGAAACUGCACUUGAUACUGCCUUGCUCGAGUACUGGAGAGGAGAUUGGAAUUUACGGUGUAGCGGUGAAAUGCGUAGAUAUCGAGAGGAACACCUGCGGCGAAGGCGGGUUGCUGGGCUGACACUGACGCUGAGGCGCGAAAGCUAGGGGAGCGAACGGG
This 253-nucleotide ribosomal RNA is filed under the name uncultured prokaryote. RNAcentral's name for it is "partial 16S ribosomal RNA". It matches the Rfam family "Bacterial small subunit ribosomal RNA", at positions 524 to 776 of the family's 1533-position model. The record is from RNAcentral.